GUGAGUAACACGUGGGAAUGUGCCCUUCUGUUGAGGAUAGCCCCGGGAAACUGGGAGUAAUACUCGAUACGCCCUUAGGGGGAAGGAAGGAUCAGCCCGCGUCUGAUUAGGUAGUUGGUGGGGUAAUGGCCUACCAAGCCUACGAUCAGUAGCUGGUUUUAGAGGAUGAUCAGCCACACUGGGACUGAGACACGGCCCAGACUCCUACGGGAGGCAGCAGUGAGGAAUCUUAGACAAUGGGCGCAAGCCUGAUCUAGCCAUGCCGCGUGAGUGAUGAAGGCCUUAGGGUCGUAAAGCUCUUUCGCCAGGGAUGAUAAUGACAGUACCUGGUAAAGAAACCCCGGCUAACUCCGUGCCAGCAGCCGCGGUAAUACGGAGGGGGUUAGCGUUGUUCGGAAUUACUGGGCGUAAAGCGCGCGUAGGCGGACUGGAAAGUUGGGGGUGAAAUCCCAGGGCUCAACCCUGGAACUGCCUCCAAAACUAUCAGUCUAGAGUUCGAGAGAGGUGAGUGGAAUUCCGAGUGUAGAGGUGAAAUUCGUAGAUAUUCGGAGGAACACCAGUGGCGAAGGCGGCUCACUGGCUCGAUACUGACGCUGAGGUGCGAAAGUGUGGGGAGCAAACAGGAUUAGAUACCCUGGUAGUCCACACC
RNAcentral lists this ribosomal RNA (649 nucleotides) under Sagittula stellata. RNAcentral describes it as "bacterial SSU rRNA". It matches the Rfam family "Bacterial small subunit ribosomal RNA", at positions 106 to 801 of the family's 1533-position model. Lineage: Bacteria; Pseudomonadati; Pseudomonadota; Alphaproteobacteria; Rhodobacterales; Roseobacteraceae. The record is from RNAcentral.